GGACCAUUAACUCAGUUGGUAGAGUAGCUGACUCUUAAUCAGAAUGUCCACGGUUCGAGUCCGUGAUGGUCCACCA
RNAcentral lists this transfer RNA (76 nucleotides) under Peptococcaceae bacterium. RNAcentral's name for it is "tRNA-Lys". It matches the Rfam family "tRNA". From Rfam's summary of the family: Transfer RNA (tRNA) molecules are approximately 80 nucleotides in length. Their secondary structure includes four short double-helical elements and three loops (D, anti-codon, and T loops). Lineage: Bacteria; Bacillati; Bacillota; Clostridia; Eubacteriales; Peptococcaceae. RNAcentral also lists the same sequence under 2 other names. The record is from RNAcentral.